This 500-nucleotide ribosomal RNA is filed under the name uncultured Glomeromycotina. RNAcentral describes it as "partial small subunit ribosomal RNA". It matches the Rfam family "Eukaryotic small subunit ribosomal RNA", at positions 591 to 1092 of the family's 1831-position model. Lineage: Eukaryota; Fungi; Glomeromycota. The record is from RNAcentral.
CCAAUAGCGUAUAUUAAAGUUGUUGCAGUUAAAAAGCUCGUAGUUGAAUUUCGGGGUUAGUAGGUUGGUCAUGCCUCUGGUAUGUACUGGUCUCACUGAUUCCUUCUUCCUGAUGAGCCGUAAUGCCAUUAAUUUGGUGUUGCGGGGAAUUUGGACUGUUACUUUGAAAAAAUUAGAGUGUUUAAAGCAAGCUAACGCUUGAAUACAUUAGCAUGGAAUAAUGAAAUAGGACGUUCGAUCCUAUUUUGUUGGUUUCUAGGAUUGACGUAAUGAUUAAUAGGGAUAGUUGGGGGCAUUAGUAUUCAAUUGUCAGAGGUGAAAUUCUUGGAUUUAUUGAAGACUAACUACUGCGAAAGCAUUUGCCAAGGAUGUUUUCAUUAAUCAAGAACGAAAGUUAGGGGAUCGAAGACGAUCAGAUACUGUCGUAGUCUUAACCAUAAACUAUGCCGACUAGGGAUCGGAUGAUGUUAAUUUUUUAAUGACUCAUUCGGCGCCUUACG